This 2194-nucleotide long non-coding RNA is filed under the name Taeniopygia guttata (zebra finch). Its description in RNAcentral is "lncRNA (ENSTGUG00000026632.1)". Lineage: Eukaryota; Metazoa; Chordata; Aves; Passeriformes; Estrildidae. The record is from RNAcentral.
CAUUUCAUAGCUGUUCUGCUUUAAGCCUUCUGACAACUGCUAUAAAGAUAUUCCCUGGAAACCCUGUGUUUCUGCUGGUCCAGGAGCACACUGCUGCACAUUAAACAAUAAUAACUGGGAACACCCAGAGCUCUUGGGAGCCUCCAGAGAGAAGACAGUGUCCUCUGAAGCCUGUGCUGCUGAGCAUGGUCACACAGAUCUGCAGCAGGUGUUCACCUCAGUCCUUCCUACCUCAAACUGGUCUAGCAGAACGAAUAUGGUUUUAAGAUCCUUGUAUGCCUUUAGGAAGAUUGACUCACAUGAGAAUCACCUUCUCUAACUGUAUCCAGAACAGAAGUUGUGCCACAGUGCCACAGUAUGACCCUGGCUGUUCAUCAUGCACCCACCAAAGCAUUUUUACUCCUCUCCUCAGCUGGACAGUGGAGAGAAAAGACAAAAGGAUCAUGGGUCCAGAUAAGGACAGGGAGAAAUCACACACCAGUUACUAUCUCAGGAAAAAUAGAUUUGGUUUAGGGAAAUUAGUUUCAUUCAUCACAAAUCAAAUCAGUGUAAUAAGCAGAAAUUAAACCAAAUCUUAAAACACCUUUCACCCACCCCUCCCUCCUUUCUAGGCUCAACUUCAGUCCUGAUUUGCUCAGCCUCAGUGGUAGAGGGAGAUGGGAAAUGCAGGUUGUGGUCAGUUCAUCACAUGCUGUCUUUGCUGCUUCUUCUUCCACAGGGAUUGGAUUCCCCACAUGCUCCCCUGCUCCUGGGUGGACUGCCUCCCACAGGAGGCAGUCCUGCGUGAACUUCUCCACCCUGGUCCUGCCCAUGGGUUGCAGCUCUUCACAAGCCCUCCCUGUGUGGUCACACCUUUUGGAACAGGCUGCUCCAGCUUUUUCCCCAUGGGAUGACAAAUCCCACCUGCAAACCUGCUCCAGUCUGGGCCCCUCUCUCCAGGGGCCACAGGUCCUCUCAGGAGCCAGGCUGAAAAAAUGAGGGGUUGUUUUUUCUGCAGGAAGCUAACUGAUGGUCUUUCUCUCAUUUUAAGAUGAGAAGUGUAAGGACCAAAUAAUUUUUAGUUGCAGUAAAACAAGUACUGUCAAAUCCAUCUCAAAUCCAGUAAUAAGUUCAAAAGAUACUUCAUGGGAAAGGAGGGUGGGAAGAGAUGGAAGGAGAAGAGAGGCAAAGAGACAUAUAUGUGCACUGGGGGGAGUUUAGAUUGGAUAUUAGGAAAGAUUCUUUAUUGAAAAUGUUGUCAAACAUUGGAGCAUGCUUCCCAGGGCAGUGGUGGGGUCACCAUUCCUGUAGGGAUUUAAAAGACAUGCAGAUAUGGCACUUGGGGACAUGUAUUAGUGGUGGUCUUGGCAAUGCUGGUUGGACUGGAUGAUCCUAAAAGCCUUUAUCAACCUUAAUGAUUCUAUGAUAAGGAGAGCUGGAAAAUGAGAUAUUUAUUAAGGAACAUUUCUGUACAACUGGUAAGUUACAUCAGAAAGAGCCAGGGAUAGGAGAAUCACCAGAAGAAGCAAGAAGAGGGUGCAUGAGUUCACAGCCCCCUGGCAAGCCCUUUUUCCCCUAGGCAUGCCAUGCCUCCAAGGAAGGUGUGGGAGCAGUCUGAGGGACACAUCUCUGCUCUUCACAUCCACUCACACUUAAGCUGCCACAGAAUAACCUUGUGCUCCCUGCUGUGCCACUGUGCAAGAGCUGGCAGGGGAAGGGGCUCGGGGAUAAUGAAUGAAGCUCUAUAUUAGCCACAAAAGCACAGGACAGUCAAAUGAAAGGGUAAAAGUAUGGUCAUGAAAGACAAGCAGUCACUCCGACUGUGUGCUGGAGGUAAUUACUGCUAUAUAAAUAAACCAGAGGAAAAAAAAAUCUUUUAAAAAUCUAAUUACCAUGCAGCACUGUGGGUUUCAACCUUGGUCAAGUACAGGCAGACCUGAUUUACGCUCCAUCAUAAAAUCCUAAGCACGAGGCUGGUCUCCCUCUCUCUUUACAAUAUGAGUCAGGGAAUAAGCACAGGACACUUCUCAGAGAGGAGCUGCCUGAUAGAUAGAUGUGCCCAUGUCUGGGUGGUUCAGCAUCUCCAACAAGCCCAGGACAACACAAGUACACCACCUGCAUGUCUAUUUAUCACAGUUUUCUGUCUGCAAGAGCAACAUCUCUUUUAAACAAAAAACAAAACAAAACAAAACAAAAAAAAAAAAAAAAAAAAAAA